ACAAUGGAGGUAAAAGAAAAUGCAGCAGGAGAAGACAGGGAAGGAUGGUGGACUACCUCCCAAAGUGGACGCUAAAGACAUGGGACUCCCCAGGGCGCCCAUUUUUUUCAAGGUUAAUAGAUUGUCAUCUUGUUCUGGGACCCACAAAAUAUGUAGCUGGAUCUGAUAACUGUGCCCACUGAGGAAAAAAACUUGGAUCGCUGUUUUAGCUGACCCAGUCGUGCUCAGAACACAGGUAUUUCUCUCCGUGGCUUAUGGAAAUAGCAUGAGAGUUCUGCUUCUAGGAAGAACACAUGACAUUUGUUUAGUAAGACUGAAUAGCCCGCCAGGACUGCCUGGGGCCUCUGAGUGUGGUGAUACGAUGGACUUUUUUUUCCCCCUUAUUUUCCUUUUAUUUUCAAUUCUAGGGAAACAAGAAAUGCAUUUUCAUGACUUUGAUCUUAUCUACCACAGCUCUUUGUACA
This is a long non-coding RNA of Hyaena hyaena (striped hyena), 464 nucleotides long. RefSeq lists it as uncharacterized. Lineage: Eukaryota; Metazoa; Chordata; Mammalia; Carnivora; Hyaenidae. The transcript has 3 exons. The record is from RefSeq and is a predicted model, not a curated record.